Non-coding RNA from Neurospora tetrasperma FGSC 2509, 383 nucleotides. It matches the Rfam family "Nuclear RNase P". From Rfam's summary of the family: Ribonuclease P (RNase P) is a ubiquitous endoribonuclease, found in archaea, bacteria and eukarya as well as chloroplasts and mitochondria. Its best characterised activity is the generation of mature 5'-ends of tRNAs by cleaving the 5'-leader elements of precursor-tRNAs. Cellular RNase Ps are ribonucleoproteins. Lineage: Eukaryota; Fungi; Ascomycota; Sordariomycetes; Sordariales; Sordariaceae. The record is from Rfam.
UCCUCUUCAACGCUGCGUUUCUAUGCACCAACGGAGAGUUCUGCCUCGGCAUUCCUUUCAUCAUGGCAUAUGAGAAAUUCGGAGAAAUCGCUUCACCUUCAGCCACCCCUCUGAUCGCGUCAGGGUCGGCUCACUCCGGUGGCCUGGCUUUGUCAAGAUUGAGGAGCUGCUGCCGGCAACGGUCUCACGCGAUACUGCGUGUGUAAUUGGCAUCAGAAAAGCAGGCGGCUAUCCUAGGCGGGCAAGCUGACGGUGUAGUCGCCCUUUGGGAGAGCCAUUACGAAGCUUGUGGGUAGAAUCACUUGAGUGCAAUACGCAGCGUGCGGUGUCUGUCUUCUUCUUGGUAGACCUGUACAAUCCGAUUCCGAUUACUCUGUUGAGGA